RNAcentral lists this ribosomal RNA (403 nucleotides) under Actinomycetes bacterium. RNAcentral's name for it is "Actinobacteria bacterium partial 16S ribosomal RNA". It matches the Rfam family "Bacterial small subunit ribosomal RNA", at positions 355 to 776 of the family's 1533-position model. The record is from RNAcentral. Lineage: Bacteria; Bacillati; Actinomycetota; Actinomycetes. RNAcentral also lists the same sequence under 1 other name.
UGGGGAAUAUUGGACAAUGGGCGCAAGCCUGAUCCAGCCAUGCCGCGUGAGUGAUGAAGGCCCUAGGGUUGUAAAGCUCUUUCACCGGUGAAGAUAAUGACGGUAACCGGAGAAGAAGCCCCGGCUAACUUCGUGCCAGCAGCCGCGGUAAUACGAAGGGGGCUAGCGUUGUUCGGAUUUACUGGGCGUAAGCGCACGUAGGCGGACUUUUAAGUCAGGGGUGAAAUCCCGGGGCUCAACCCCGGAACUGCCUUUGAUACUGGAAGUCUUGAGUAUGGUAGAGGUGAGUGGAAUUCCGAGUGUAGAGGUGAAAUUCGUAGAUAUUCGGAGGAACACCAGUGGCGAAGGCGGCUCACUGGACCAUUACUGACGCUGAGGUGCGAAAGCGUGGGGAGCAAACAGG